RNAcentral lists this ribosomal RNA (1340 nucleotides) under uncultured bacterium. Its description in RNAcentral is "bacterial SSU rRNA". It matches the Rfam family "Bacterial small subunit ribosomal RNA", at positions 28 to 1381 of the family's 1533-position model. The record is from RNAcentral.
GAUGAACGCUGGCGGCGCGCCUAACACAUGCAAGUCGAACGGUUAAGACGCACUUCGGUGCGUGCAUAGAGUGGCGAACGGCUGAGUAACACGUGGGCAACCUGCCCCCCGCACCGGGAUAGCCUCGCGAAAGCGUGAUUAAUACCGGGUACUCCGGCACCUCCGCAUGGCGGUGCCGGGAGAGCGUUAGCGGCGGGGGAUGGGCCCGCGGCCUGUUAGCUAGUUGGCGGGGCAACGGCCCACCAAGGCGAUUAUGGGUAGCCGGGUUGAGAGACCGACCGGCCAGAUUGGGACUGAGACACGGCCCAGACUCCUACGGGAGGCAGCAGUGGGGAAUCUUGCGCAAUGGGGGGAACCCUGACGCAGCGACGCCGCGUGCGGGACGAAGGCCCUAGGGUCGUAAACCGCUUUCAGCAGGGAAGAGGCCGCAAGGUGACGGUACCUGCAGAAGAAGCCCCGGCUAAAUACGUGCCAGCAGCCGCGGUAAUACGUAUGGGGCGAGCGUUAUCCGGAUUCAUUGGGCGUAAAGCGCGCGUAGGCGGCCUGGCAGGCCGGGAGUCAAAUCCGGGGGCUCAACCCCCGCCCGCUCCCGGAACCUCCGGGCUUGAGUCUGGCAGGGGAGGGUGGAAUACCCGGUGUAGCGGUGGAAUGCGCAGAUAUCGGGUAGAACACCGGUGGCGAUGGCGGCCCUCUGGGCCACGACUGACGCUGAGGCGCGAAAGCUGGGGGAGCGAACAGGAUUAGAUACCCUGGUAGUCCCAGCCGUAAACGAUGGACGCUAGGUGUGGGGGGGACGAUCCCCCCGUGCCGCAGCCAACGCACUAAGCGUCCCGCCUGGGGAGUACGGCCGCAAGGCUAAAACUCAAAGGAAUUGACGGGGGGCCCGCACAAGCAGCGGAGCAUGUGGCUUAAUUCGAAGCAACGCGAAGAACCUUAUCUGGGCUUGACACUCCGCUGAAGCGGCGGAGACGCCGUGGCCGAGAGGAGCCUGAACAGGUGGUGCAUGGCUGUCGUCAGCUCGUGUCGUGAGAUGUUGGGUUAAGUCCCGCAACGAGCGCAACCCCCGCCGCGUGUUGCCAGCAGGUCAUGCUGGGCACCCGCGCGGGACCGCCGGCGUCAAGCCGGAGGAGGGUGGGGACGACGUCAAGUCAUCAUGCCCCUUAUGUCCAGGGCUGCACACGUGCUACAAUGGCCGGCACAACGGGCUGCGAACCCGCGAGGGCGAGCGAAUCCCUUAAAGCCGGCCCCAGUUCGGACCGGGGGCUGCAACCCGCCCCCGCGAAGUCGGAGUUGCUAGUAAUCGCGGAUCAGCACGCCGCGGUGAAUGCAUUCCCGGGCCU